Molecule: long non-coding RNA, 602 nt
Organism: Alexandromys fortis (reed vole)
Lineage: Eukaryota; Metazoa; Chordata; Mammalia; Rodentia; Cricetidae
Exons: 3
Source: RefSeq, a predicted model, not a curated record
ACUACACUUUACACAGUAACUCGCCAUACCGUUAGAAACCAAGCAGACCCGACACGGAAGUCAUUGGAUGGAUUUGGAAGGAAGGAGUGAGGGCGGGAAUAAAAAGCCUAUGAUGACGGGACUUACGUGCUGAAUAAGGCUUAAAGGGUCAAACGAAGCUCCUGCACAUUUCCCAGAAAUGUCAGCGAAGCUCUCAGGUGCCAGCCGCGUGGAGAUGGCGGCAUUGCGUCCUUCACUGGUUACCCGGGGCCUUUCCAGCAGAGUUGGAUAGCUGGAGUGGAAUGCUGCCUGCUCACCUCGCUGCUCCCUGACCUCAGAGACAAGGAUCCCUGAGGACACUUUUAUCGAGCCGAGAAGGACCAAACUCAGUAUUUCACGCGCCUGUUUCCGAGUUUAUCUUUCCUUAAUCUCAAUUGUCCCAGAUCCAGGGUUCUGAGACAAGGAUCUGUGCUUGCGAUUCUUGUCAAUACAACCUGGUUUCCUUAAAACAACCUCCAGAACUGCUCUGGAUUUAAACUGAGACAGGACUGCGAGAGAGUAGUCGGCAGAAUUAAUGUGCUAAUGAGGUACUAACACAGCUUGGCUCAGGAUUAACACAUUCA